This is a non-coding RNA of Coturnix japonica (Japanese quail), 4710 nucleotides long. The record is from RefSeq and is a predicted model, not a curated record. NCBI's taxonomy places the organism in Eukaryota, Metazoa, Chordata, Aves, Galliformes, Phasianidae.
AUCUUUUCCCUCACAGUCAUUUUAAUUGGCAGGGAGCAGUGAACAAUCCGGCAGCAGGUCUCAGCCAGCCUGACCUAACAGAGCCUUGCCGCUUGGAUCAACAGGCAGAAAGUCCAUCUGGGAGACCAAGCCCUAGUCCCUCCAGCAAGUCCUUACUGUUAAUUAAAGGUAUUAAUUGGCAUGCAGCCUGCUUAUUUAAAGAGGCAGUGGCCUCUGCAGUGCCUGGUGGUAAUUACAGAUACACAGAGCUGCUCCUAAACGAUAUGCGAGGAUGGUCAGGGGGCUCUGCUAGCCCCUGCUUGAGGGCUUCUGCCCCUUUGCAUGCUCCUGGGGAGGACAGAUGUUUCUGGAACUGUACUUGGAGGUGGGGAGCAUCAGCAUGAAUGCAUGGCUGGGGCUGGACCCAGCGGUACUCUGGCUUUUCUGUACCAUUCCAGCACUCCAAGCAGCCAGGGGGGUGCAAGCAGGAGGAUUCUAUUGUUGGGCACUCCCCUGCCAGAGCCUCCGCCCCAACUUGGUUAAAGUCUGUGCAGUUCAAUUUCUGAACGUAGUCUGGGAGCAACAUGAAAAUUAGAUCUAAUAAUGAAUGAUUACAACUUUCAAGUUAAGUCUAGUUGGUUGACUAAUCAAUUUGGUUAAGUGAAAAUCCAUAGCAAAUGAGUCAGCCGCAGUACAACAUUUCUCCAUCCAAUUUAAAUUAAAAUCACCAACCAUAAUAAUUUCACAAUUACUCUGUGAGGAUGCACCAGGGACUUGCCCCUUGAGAAAGAAAAUGUCAAGGACUGCAGGAGAGACACCAGGGGCAAGGGGAGCAUGGGGAUAGGGAUGGAUGCUCCAGCAGUGGGGAUGCAUCAUUGGGUCCCCAGGUGACACUGGAGCUCCUCAGCACCAAAGCAUAGCACCUCCCAUCCCCCAGACUUGCAUGCAGCCCCCAGGGGUUUGGCCAUUAUUUAUAGCAAUGGAGCAGGGCAGUGUGAGAGGGGAGCCUGGUCCUGUAGAUCAAUUUGUAAUUUUUCUUUUUCGCUGUGGCAAGAGUGUGAGGGAUGUGAGCAUUAAAUCCCCAGAAAAGUCACCUCUGCAGCAAUCUUUAGCAGUCUGCAUUAUUUAUUUGUGUACAGUUGCAUUACAUACUGGGCCCUACCAAAAUAAGUAAAUAAGACCAGGGCAGGCUGUGUCCAUAGCAGAGCAGGUGCUUGGAGAUGGGUCUCAUUCUGCACACAGGUGGGCUGCAGGGAGGGGUCUGGGUGAACAGAACCAGUCCUGCUUUCUGGUUGGUUCUCUGCCCCUGUUGUUUACAGCAGGUAAUUAACGACCUGUUCACCCUGAAAGUGGAGGGUGAGCUGACUCUAGUGGUUUAAUAAUUCAGUGCCUUUACAGAACUUUGUGCUUGUGCAAAACACUCAGAUGCAUGCUGCAGAGCAGCUGGCCUGGCCUGGAAGGCUUUGCAGAGGUUUCUGUGUGAAGCUAUUAUAGCAGAAAUGCUAAGUCAUGGCUUGAAGCAGUGAUUGAGCACCUGGUGGGAAGGCAGGGCCAGCCCAGGGGAGCUCAGGUGCAAGCAGUGCCAUGCACCUGGGUGACCAGAACAGGGUGGAGCCAGAAUCCAUCCCUUCCCAGACCUCAUUUAAGGGUUGGCAGUGGAGGCUAGUAUAUUUUGCUGGAGAUCCCUGAGUACCUCGGGCUUUCUGAAGCUGCAAAGCGACAUGUGCACCAAAAGCAAACCAACCUUGCACAAAUUAUCCCAAUUCCUGCCUUGCAAGCAGAGACAGCUGUGACGGAUUCCAGCAAAACACCUUGCGUCUGGUCUACAAAGCCCGAGCUAAUCUGCACAUCCAACCAAAGCGGGUCCUUCCUCAUCACAUGCUUGUGCUGCCAGAGCAGGGGACGUGGAUAAUACUUUGGAGCCACUACAAACGCUUUGGAAAAGACUGUGCCAUGGUAGCAAACAGCUGGUGUAGCUAAUCCAUUUUCCAAGCACAUUUGCAAGAUACAUAAUUAAGAGUUCUGUUGAGGAGCGAAGCAAAGCAGACCAUUAGAUUUGUUUAUAACAUUACGGGUAGUGUAAUACUCACCCAGGAUCUCCCUUUCCUGCAAAAGACAUUAAGGUGAUCCUUAGGAAAUGUCCCUGGGAUUUUCUGAUGAUGCCAAUGUGACAUUAAAUUUCUGUUCCUGUGUUUCUCCCUGUGUUUCCAUCCUGUUGAACGCUCAGAGCCUGCCCUGCACGCAUUUCAGAAGCGAAGGACUUUCCUAAUUACAGUGCGAACAAUUCGAGGCACACACUUUUGGUGUGUUUUGCAUCAGAUCCGCCCAAAUUCAAACGAGCAGGGAAAGUUUCUCUUCUGGACACCAACUUUUCACAAGCAUCCCCUCUUGGGCUUUGCGGGGGCACCAGAGGCUGCUCUCAGUGGAGGAAGCCAAGGGAGCUGUGCCAAGGCUGGGAAACGUGCUGAGGAAGGAGGCUGCAAGAUAGCUGCUCUUUGGGAGCUGUGCAAAUCCCAAGCCAUCAAGGGGAGGACAUCAUCUGAAGCCAACUUGCAAACAACUUGAAGUGCAGAGGGGAGAUUUCAGCCAAAUUGAGCUCUGGGCAGUGUUUAAACCAUGUGGAAGGAGAGGAACCCACGAUUUUCCCUCUGUUGCACAGUGCAUCAGAUGGGCAGGACAGACCCAGCUUCUCUAAGCAAUGCUGACAAGAUUACCUACUGAUUGCCGGAGUAAAAUGUUGCAUUUCAACUAAAGCUGGGGCAGAUGGCAGAGGAAAGCGCUGGAAACUUGUCACUAAUUUCUAGUGAAGGACAAACCUCUCGGGGAUUGCGGGUUCACUCUGGGAGACUUGGAAUGGGAACCCUUGUGAAAGAGCGGCAACAGGUAUUGCUUAUCCCUGAGGGACUCAGUGCCUUCCCAGAGAAGAACAAACAUGAUGGGAGGAGAGCUGCAAGCACAGGUCUGGAUGUGAUGCUGCAAGGAGAACACAAGCAAAGUGUGAAGUUCCCAAAGUCGAUGGGUGUGAGGUGUGUGGCACCAGCCCUGCUCAGCAGAGGUGGACCCAGGUUAAAGCCAUUCCCCCUUGUCCUUUUCUUCAGGCAGCGCUGGGCACGUCCAACUGUGAGCUUUCAUUUCUCUUCCAUUCUGUCUCUGCCAUUUCUUCUGGAGGCCAGAAGGAGACCCUGGUGGAAUAUUAACUCCGUGGUCGCUGAGUGAUUAUUUAUUGCAAUCAUUGCUUACGGGUCCUUUGACUCGUCUCUGUUAAUUAGACUGCAGGGUGUAAUAAACGUGAUGGAAAGCACCCAGGCAGGGCUGGGGAUGCUGCAGCGUGCGGAGCAGCCGCUGUGCUGGGUGCAGCCUCACGGCCAGUCAAGCCUUGACCUCAUCCAUCCAGCAAAGGGCAGGAGAAGCUUACAAGUCUGAAACUGUGUUAAAAGAGAGAGUUGGUGCUGAGCAGCGUGGCCCUGCUGGAAAUGAGUUCGUGGUUGAAGAGUGCCUUCUUGAUGUUCUCCCAGUGCCUGGCCUCAGGGUGCUGAAGCUUGGCACCCAGAUGCUCACCAUGGCUCUGCCUGGAUGGUCACCUGUGCCCAGGUCACCCAUUUCAGCAGAGCAGGGGUUUGGCCCUAUGGGGCAAAUGGUGGCAUGCACACGCUAAGGACAUGGAGGGGUGAGAGGCAGCAGACACACAGAGCUGCCCCUGCCCUGUAUGAGGAGAUAUUAGGAAAGGAAGGAGAAAUGAGCUCAUUAAAAUGGCACUGGAACCCCCAGCGGGGACUCCUGCCGAAGCAGACUGUGUGUAGUGCGUUAUGACGAGAGCUGAGAGCAGCUCAGCUCUGACAGUUAUUUAAAAUUUAAACCCACAAAUUAAACAGGUUCUUUUAUAUAAUGAUAGAGUCCAUGUCCCGGGUCCCUGAGCACCUCUCACUCACAGACAGCAGAAAUACCACUCUCCAUGAGCAACCUAUGGGUUCUAGCAUCCCCACUGCUCACACAUGUCCCUGCUUGUGGCCGGGUGCUGCUUGCCCUUGGGUUGGCUAUGGAUGAACCCCCCUCCAUUCCCCCUCAAGCCUCAGUGAUGCCACGCAGAGCUCAGGUCAGCCGCAGUCUCAGCUGACUCCUGCUUUGAGUUUUAACUUCAGUUUUUAAAUUAUCACUCAAAGCAAAGUCAUGGUGAGAGGAGAAGAAGUCCUGACAUUUGUGUCACAAAAGGAAACCUUUCUUCCCUUUCUUCUUUAAAGGCUGGCUUUUCUCCUGCCGCUACCUGUUGCUCUGAAUGGAUUCGGUGAAAGGAAGCUUUGGGAUGGAAACACUGAAAUUCUAAGCCCUGCAAGAAGAGCAGGCAACGUCACAGUGAUACCUGUGCUUUUUGCUAUGAGGACUGCUCUGAAAGUAAUGCCUCCUGUUUUAUGAUGUUGGCCUGUGACAUCAGAGGCGGAUGGUGGUGGCACAGCAGUAGAGAUGGAACCUUCCCACCAAUAUCCCGUUCCAUGUUGUUGCCAUGUGACAGAUGGCAGCAGAGGGGCAGUCUGACACAGCGGUGUCUGACAUGGAAGUGCAGAGGAAGCAAAGGUGUGGAACUGAAUUCCUCCAUGCAGAAAAAAAUGUCACUUAUUGGAGCAUGGUGAACAUAGGAAAUGAAAUGGCUGCACAGGGAGGUGGUGGAGUUGCUGUUCCUGGCAGUGUUCAAGAGGCAUCUGGAUGAGGAGCUAUGAGAGAUGGUUUAGUGGCUUG